UCAAGCUGUAAAGGGCGCAAGGGGAAUGCCUUGGCACUGAGAGCCGACGAAGGACGCGACAAGCUGCGAUAAGCUACGGGGAGCCGCAAAUGGGCUUUGAUCCGUGGAUUUCCGAAUGGGGAAACCCGGCAGAGCAAUACUCUGUCAACAUGUACUGAAUACAUAGGUACAUGUGGGGAACCGCCUGAACUGAAACAUCUAAGUAGGGCGAGGAAGAGAAAUCAACCGAGAUUCCGCUAGUAGUGGCGAGCGAACGCGGAAGAGGCCAAACCGGAGGUAGCAAUAUUUCCGGGGUUAGGACUGCAAUAUGUAGCUUUCAUUUUUAACCGAAUGCUUUGGGAAGAGCAGCAAUAUAGGGUGAUAGCCCCGUAGGUGAAAAGAAUGGAGCGCUAGCAGUAUCCAGAGUACCAGCGGACACGUGAAACCCGCUGGGAAGAUGGGGGGACCAUCCUCCAAGCCUAAAUACUACUCAGUGACCGAUAGUGGAGCAGUACCGUGAGGGAAAGGUGAAAAGUACCCCGGGAGGGGAGUGAAAAAGAACCUGAAACCUUGUGCCUACAAGCACCGAGAGCACGUUAAAGUGUGAUCGGGUACUUUUUGUAGAACGGUCCGGCGAGUUAAUAUUUGCAGCGAGGUUAAGUAACUGGAGUUACGGAGCCGCAGCGAGAGCGAGUCUGAAUAGGGCGUAUGAAGUUGCAGGUAUUAGACCCGAAACCGGGUGACCUAUCCAUGAGCAGGCUGAAGCGGUGGUAAGACACCGUGGAGGGCCGCACCCACGUCUGUUGAAAAAGCCGGGGAUGACUUGUGGAUAGCGGAGAAAUUCCAAUCGAACUCGGAGAUAGCUGGUUCUCCCCGAAAUAGCUUUAGGGCUAGCGUUAUUUUAGAUUACCGGAGGUAAAGCACUGAAUGGUCUAGGGGCCGCGAGGUUACCAAAGCCUAUCAAACUCUGAAUGCCGGAUAAUUGAUGAAUAGCAGUCAGACUGUGUGAGAUAAGUCUCAUAGUCAAAAGGGAAACAGCCCAGAUCUACAGCUAAGGUCCCAAAUGAACACUAAGUGGAAAAUGAUGUGAAACUGCGAAGACAACCAGGAUGUUGGCUUAGAAGCAGCCACUCAUUCAAAGAGUGCGUAAUAGCUCACUGGUCGAGUGGUUUUGCGCAGAAAAUGUAACGGGGCUAAGUGUUCAACCGAAGCUUAGGCAUUGCAGUAAUGCAUUGGGUAGGGGAGCGUCGUAUGCGGGGCGAAGUCAGAGCGGAAGCACUGGUGGACUGCAUACGAGUGAGAAUGCCGGAAUAAGUAGCGAGAAUUAUGUGAGAAUCAUAAUGGCCGAAAAUCUAAGGUUUCUUGGGGAAGGUUCGUCCGCCCAAGGUUAGUCGGGAGCUAAGCUCAGGCCGAAAGGCGUAGGCGAUGCACAUACGGUAGAAAUUCCGUAACCACCGAACAUUUAAGCUAGAGGGACGCUUUCUUUAAGGUUAUCCCGGGCGAUGGUUGCCCCGGGCGUAAGGGACCGAAAUAUAGUAGGGAAGUAACUGGCGAGAGAGACGAGAAAAGCUCUAGUGUAUACUAAGGUGCCCGUACCGCAAACCGACACAGGUAGAUGGGAUGAGUAUUCUAAGGCCAACGGGAGAAGGGUUGUUAAGGAACUCGGCAAAUUGGCCCCGUAACUUCGGGAUAAGGGGCGCCUGCGAGAGCAGGCCGCAGUGAAAAGGCCCAAGCGACUGUUUAGCAAAAACACAGCUCUCUGCUAAAUCGAAAGAUGACGUAUAGGGGGUGACGCCUGCCCGGUGCUGGAAGGUUAAGGGGAGUGCUUAGCGCAAGCGAAGGUGCGAACUUAAGCCCCAGUAAACGGCGGCCGUAACUAUAACGGUCCUAAGGUAGCGAAAUUCCUUGUCAGGUAAGUUCUG
This 1901-nucleotide ribosomal RNA is filed under the name human gut metagenome. RNAcentral describes it as "bacterial LSU rRNA". It matches the Rfam family "Bacterial large subunit ribosomal RNA", at positions 3 to 1985 of the family's 2925-position model. The record is from RNAcentral.